This 292-nucleotide ribosomal RNA is filed under the name uncultured bacterium. RNAcentral describes it as "partial 16S ribosomal RNA". It matches the Rfam family "Bacterial small subunit ribosomal RNA", at positions 505 to 796 of the family's 1533-position model. The record is from RNAcentral.
GUGUCAGCCGCCGCGGUAAUACGAAGGGUGCAAGCGUUGCUCGGAAUUAUUGGGCGUAAAGGGUUGGUAGGUGGUCUUGUUUGUCUAAGGUGAAAUCCCAUGGCUUAACUGUGGAAGUGCCUUAGAAACGGCAAGACUAGAGUCCUAGAGGGGUUUGUGGAAUUCCCGGUGUAGCGGUGAAAUGCGUAGAGAUCGGGAGGAACACCAGCGGCGAAGGCGGCAAACUGGAUAGGCACUGACACUCAACAACGAAAGCGUGGGGAGCAAACAGGAUUAGAUACCCCUGUAGUCC